UGGGGAAUUUUGGACAAUUGGGCGAAAGCCUGAUCCAGCAAUGCCGCGUGUGUGAAGAAGGCCUUCGGGUUGUAAAGCACUUUUGUCCGGAAAGAAAUCCUUGGCUCUAAUACAGUCGGGGGAUGACGGUACCGGAAGAAUAAGCACCGGCUAACUACGUGCCAGCAGCCGCGGUAAUACGUAGGGUGCAAGCGUUAAUCGGAAUUACUGGGCGUAAAGCGUGCGCAGGCGGUUUGCUAAGACCGAUGUGAAAUCCCCGGGCUCAACCUGGGAACUGCAUUGGUGACUGGCAGGCUAGAGUAUGGCAGAGGGGGGUAGAAUUCCACGUGUAGCAGUGAAAUGCGUAGAGAUGUGGAGGAAUACCGAUGGCGAAGGCAGCCCCCUGGGCCAAUACUGACGCUCAUGCACGAAAGCGUGGGGAGCAAACAGGAUUAGAUACCCUGGUAGUCCACGCCCUAAACGAUGUCAACUAGUUGUUGGGGAUUCAUUUCCUAGUAACGUAGCUAACGCGUGAAGUUGACCGCCUGGGGAGUACGGUCGCAAGAUUAAAACUC
This 554-nucleotide ribosomal RNA is filed under the name uncultured bacterium. RNAcentral's name for it is "partial 16S ribosomal RNA". It matches the Rfam family "Bacterial small subunit ribosomal RNA", at positions 355 to 902 of the family's 1533-position model. The record is from RNAcentral.